GCAACUGAGGGUUCAGCGACAAAAUGCUCGCCUGUCACGCGGGCGGCCCGGGUUUGAUUCCCGGCCGAUGCA
Molecule: transfer RNA, 72 nt
Filed under: Haemonchus placei
Lineage: Eukaryota; Metazoa; Nematoda; Chromadorea; Rhabditida; Trichostrongylidae
Rfam family: tRNA
About the family: Transfer RNA (tRNA) molecules are approximately 80 nucleotides in length. Their secondary structure includes four short double-helical elements and three loops (D, anti-codon, and T loops).
Source: Rfam by way of RNAcentral